AGCGAACGCUGGCGGCAGGCCUAACACAUGCAAGUCGAACGAACUCUUCGGAGUUAGUGGCGGACGGGUGAGUAACACGUGGGAACGUGCCUUUAGGUUCGGAAUAACUCAGGGAAACUUGUGCUAAUACUGAAUGUGCCCUUCGGGGGAAAGAUUUAUCGCCUUUAGAGCGGCCCGCGUCUGAUUAGCUAGUUGGUGAGGUAAAGGCUCACCAAGGCGACGAUCAGUAGCUGGUCUGAGAGGAUAAUCAGCCACAUUGGGACUGAGACACGGCCCAAACUCCUACGGGAGGCAGCAGUGGGGAAUCUUGCGCAAUGGGCGAAAGCCUGACGCAGCCAUGCCGCGUGAAUGAUGAAGGUCUUAGGAUUGUAAAAUUCUUUCACCGGGGACGAUAAUGACGGUACCCGGAGAGGAAGCCCCGGCUAACUUCGUGCCAGCCGCCGCGGUAA
This 449-nucleotide ribosomal RNA is filed under the name uncultured bacterium. Its description in RNAcentral is "partial 16S ribosomal RNA". It matches the Rfam family "Bacterial small subunit ribosomal RNA", at positions 29 to 523 of the family's 1533-position model. The record is from RNAcentral.